GACACCAUAGCCAAGUGGUUACGGCGACAGAUUAGAAAUCUGUUGGGCUUUGCCCGCGUAGGUUCGAAUCCUGCUGGUGUCG
Molecule: transfer RNA, 82 nt
Organism: Heterobasidion irregulare TC 32-1
Lineage: Eukaryota; Fungi; Basidiomycota; Agaricomycetes; Russulales; Bondarzewiaceae
Rfam family: tRNA
About the family: Transfer RNA (tRNA) molecules are approximately 80 nucleotides in length.
Source: Rfam